Long non-coding RNA from Centruroides sculpturatus (bark scorpion), 729 nucleotides. RefSeq lists it as uncharacterized. The record is from RefSeq and is a predicted model, not a curated record. Lineage: Eukaryota; Metazoa; Arthropoda; Arachnida; Scorpiones; Buthidae. The transcript is spliced from 4 exons.
GACGUAACAAAUGAACUUUGACAAUUGACCGAUUGUUGGUUUGCUCUUAUUGUUCUGAAGAGUGCGAUUUCGGAUAUUUCGAAAAUUAAUUUUGAUUUUGCUGGGUAUCGUCCCUUGGCUGAUCCCUUCGGUGAACAGAGAACAGUUUCGAUUUGAAGCUCUCAUUUGUACAGUUGAGUUGGCAUUUGUAACGAUUUUAAUUAUAGGAGGAAUUGCGCAUGGUCUACUGUUAGCCGCUUUAUUUAUAUUUGUCCUCCAGAAAGAAUACGAAGAACUUAAUUACGAAAUGUCUACGAUAAGAAGAAGCGACAGAAAUUUGAAACUGAAAUUACAAAAUUUGAUGAUCUGUCACCAAGAAUUGUGGAUUUACAUGAAUCAGUUGAACACAAAAUUCGAGUUGGCUUUCGUACUUGUUUAUUUCGAAAUAAUUUGGGGCACGAGCUUUUGUAUUACGCAUAUUUGUACGUUGAUAUGCAUUGGAUUUUUAGAAUUUUAGUGAUGGCACUGAUGAUUGUUUCCUCAUUCGUCUGCAUUAUCUGUGGCUGUUUGCUAUGUUGCAUCGCUUUCACGAUGCGGAAUGGAUUUCAAGACAUUCGUCAAUUUGCAAUCUGCUAUUUGGAACUGGAACGAAAGCUUAAAAUAUUGGAUUUCAUGAAAAGAUUCGGCAAAUUGUCUUUGUGUCUGACGAUAGGAGGCUUCUUUUGUGUCAAUAAGAGGAUCCCUCAGAAG